CACGUAGGCGGCCUACCAAGCGCUUUGUGAAAUCCCCCGCCUCAAUCGGGGAAUUGCUUGGCGAACUGGUAGGCUUGAGGUAGGCAGGGGUGAGUGGAACUCUUGGUGGAGCGGUGGAAUGCGUAGAUAUCAAGAGGAACGCCGAUGGUGAAGACAACUCACUGGGCCUGUCCUGACGCUGAGGUGCGAAAGCCAGGGGAGCGAACAGGAUUAGAUACCCUGGUAGUCC
RNAcentral lists this ribosomal RNA (229 nucleotides) under uncultured bacterium. Its description in RNAcentral is "partial 16S ribosomal RNA". It matches the Rfam family "Bacterial small subunit ribosomal RNA", at positions 568 to 796 of the family's 1533-position model. The record is from RNAcentral.